UGGAGAGCUCUAUCUGAAAACCAACUUUAAGCCUGCCAAACACACCAAGUGCCUUUCCAGGAAGCCUGCAGAAGAGCAGUACUGUGAAUAAGAAUCUGGAUGUUACCACAGAUAUAGCAUGACAAAAAGGAUGACAGUAAGUCUCAAGGUUUUCAGCUACCACUAUGCAGAACUUGAAGGAAGACUCUCAGAAGGCUGUCAACACCAUCUUAGAACCAUCCAGAAAGUCAGUUCUUUGGGGUGUCACAGGAUGCUUCUAAAGAAGCUGGAACUGGACUAGGAGUAAGCUCAUCAUGUCAGGCCCAAAUGUUCCAUUUGUGGACAGAAAACCUGCCAUUCCCCAAAGGUGAAAGGAUCCACGAGUAUCUUUUUCCGUCUGCUUUGUGAGAAGUCGCUUCUUGGAAAACUUGGAAGGAA
Molecule: long non-coding RNA, 417 nt
Filed under: Cyanistes caeruleus (blue tit)
Lineage: Eukaryota; Metazoa; Chordata; Aves; Passeriformes; Paridae
Description: lncRNA (ENSCCEG00000014014.1)
Source: RNAcentral